This 253-nucleotide ribosomal RNA is filed under the name uncultured prokaryote. Its description in RNAcentral is "partial 16S ribosomal RNA". It matches the Rfam family "Bacterial small subunit ribosomal RNA", at positions 525 to 777 of the family's 1533-position model. The record is from RNAcentral.
ACGUAGGGCGCAAGCGUUGUCCGGAAUUAUUGGGCGUAAAGAGCUCGUAGGCGGCUCGUCGCGUCGACCGUGAAAACCUAGGGCUUAACCCUGGGCUUGCGGUCGAUACGGGCGGGCUAGAGUUCGGUAGGGGAGACUGGAAUUCCUGGUGUAGCGGUGAAAUGCGCAGAUAUCAGGAGGAACACCGGUGGCGAAGGCGGGUCUCUGGGCCGAUACUGACGCUGAGGAGCGAAAGCGUGGGGAGCGAACAGGA